GAUGAACGCUGGCGGCGUGCUUAACACAUGCAAGUCGAACGGAAAGGCCCAAGCUUGCUUGGGUACUCGAGUGGCGAACGGGUGAGUAACACGUGGGUGAUCUGCCCUACACUUCGGGAUAAGCCUGGGAAACUGGGUCUAAUACCGGAUAGGACCACUUCUUGGAUGUUGUGGUGGAAAGUUUUUUCGGUGUGGGAUGAGCUCGCGGCCUAUCAGCUUGUUGGUGGGGUAAUGGCCUACCAAGGCGUCGACGGGUAGCCGGCCUGAGAGGGUGUACGGCCACAUUGGGACUGAGAUACGGCCCAGACUCCUACGGGAGGCAGCAGUGGGGAAUAUUGCACAAUGGGCGCAAGCCUGAUGCAGCGACGCCGCGUGGGGGAUGACGGCCUUCGGGUUGUAAACUCCUUUCGCUAGGGACGAAGCGUUUUGUGACGGUACCUGGAGAAGAAGCACCGGCUAACUACGUG
Molecule: ribosomal RNA, 467 nt
Filed under: uncultured bacterium
Lineage: Bacteria
Description: partial 16S ribosomal RNA
Rfam family: Bacterial small subunit ribosomal RNA
Source: RNAcentral